CAGCAGCCACGGGAACACGGAGGGUGCAAGCGUUAAUCGGAAUUACUGGGCGUAAAGCGCACGCAGGCGGUCUGACAAGUCAGAUGUGAAAUCCCCGGGCUUAACCUGGGAACUGCAUUUGAAACUGUCAGGCUGGAGUCUUGUAGAGGGGGGUGGAAUUCCAGGUGUAGCGGUGAAAUGCGUAGAGAUCUGGAGGAAUACCGGUGGCGAAGGCGGCCCCCUGGACAAAGACUGACGCUCAGGUGCGAAAGCGUGGGGAGCAAACAGGAUUAGAUACCCCUGUAGUCCCUGUCUCUUAUAU
Molecule: ribosomal RNA, 301 nt
Filed under: uncultured bacterium
Lineage: Bacteria
Description: partial 16S ribosomal RNA
Rfam family: Bacterial small subunit ribosomal RNA
Source: RNAcentral